CGAACGCUGGCGGCGUGCUUUACACAUGCAAGUCGAACGGAGAAGCACCUUCGGGUGUGGAUCAGUGGCGAACGGGUGAGUAACACGUGGGUAACCUGCCCCUCACUUCGGGAUAACUCCGGGAAACCGGGGCUAAUACUGGAUAUCACCAGACCGGGCAUCCGGACUGGUUGAAAGGGUUUACUGGUGAGGGAUGGACCCGCGGCCUAUCAGCUAGUUGGUGGGGUAAAGGCCUACCAAGGCGACGACGGGUAGCCGGCCUGAGAGGGCGACCGGCCACACUGGGACUGAGACACGGCCCAGACUCCUACGGGAGGCAGCAGUGGGGAAUAUUGCGCAAUGGACGAAAGUCUGACGCAGCAACGCCGCGUGAGGGAACGAAGGCCUUUGGGUUGUAAACCUCUUUCAGCAGGGACGAAGCGAAAGUGACGGUACCUGCAGAAGAAGCACCGGCUAACUAC
Molecule: ribosomal RNA, 461 nt
Filed under: uncultured bacterium
Lineage: Bacteria
Description: bacterial SSU rRNA
Rfam family: Bacterial small subunit ribosomal RNA
Source: RNAcentral